GACGAACGCUGGCGGCGCGCUUAACACAUGCAAGUCGAACGGAAAGGCCUGCUUUCCCUUGUGGAUUGCGGGUACUCGAGUGGCGAACGGGUGAGUAACACGUGAGUGAUCUGCCCCCAACUUGGGUAUAAGCCUGGGAAACUGGGUCUAAUUCCCGAUAGGACUGCAGGGUGGUGCCUGUGGUGGAAAACGAUUUUCUAGUGGUUGGGGAUGAGCUCACGGCCUAUCAGCUUGUUGGUGGGGUAAUGGCCUACCAAGGCGGCGACGGGUAGCCGGCCUGAGAGGGUGGACGGCCACAUUGGGACUGAGAUACGGCCCAGACUCCUACGGGAGGCAGCAGUGGGGAAUAUUACACAAUGGGCGGAAGCCUGAUGCAGCGACGCCGCGUGGGGGAUGACGGCCUUCGGGUUGUAAACUCCUUUCGACCGCGAGGAAGCCACCUGGUUGGAAGGGUGGUGACGGUAGUGGUAGAAGAAGCACCGGCUAACUACGUG
RNAcentral lists this ribosomal RNA (494 nucleotides) under uncultured bacterium. Its description in RNAcentral is "partial 16S ribosomal RNA". It matches the Rfam family "Bacterial small subunit ribosomal RNA", at positions 28 to 507 of the family's 1533-position model. The record is from RNAcentral.